RNAcentral lists this ribosomal RNA (468 nucleotides) under uncultured bacterium. Its description in RNAcentral is "partial 16S ribosomal RNA". It matches the Rfam family "Bacterial small subunit ribosomal RNA", at positions 28 to 507 of the family's 1533-position model. The record is from RNAcentral.
GACGAACGCUGGCGGCGUGCUUAACACAUGCAAGUCGAACGGAAAGGCCCUGCUUUUGUGGGGUGCUCGAGUGGCGAACGGGUGAGUAACACGUGAGUAACCUGCCCUUGACUUUGGGAUAACUUCAGGAAACUGGGGCUAAUACCGCAUAGGAGCUCCUGCUGCAUGGUGGGGGUUGGAAAGUUUCGGCGGUUGGGGAUGGACUCGCGGCUUAUCAGCUUGUUGGUGGGGUAGUGGCUUACCAAGGCUUUGACGGGUAGCCGGCCUGAGAGGGUGACCGGCCACAUUGGGACUGAGAUACGGCCCAGACUCCUACGGGAGGCAGCAGGGGGGAAUAUUGCACAAUGGGCGGAAGCCUGAUGCAGCAACGCCGCGUGCGGGAUGACGGCCUUCGGGGUGUAAACCGCUUUCGCCUGUGACGAAGCGUGAGUGACGGUAAUGGGUAAAGAAGCACCGGCUAACUACGUG